RNAcentral lists this ribosomal RNA (247 nucleotides) under uncultured bacterium. RNAcentral describes it as "partial 16S ribosomal RNA". It matches the Rfam family "Bacterial small subunit ribosomal RNA", at positions 523 to 769 of the family's 1533-position model. The record is from RNAcentral.
AUACGUAGGAUCCAAGCGUUGUCCGGAAUUACUGGGUGUAAAGGGUGCGUAGGCGGGCUUGUGCGUCAGAGGUUAAAUCCCACAGCUCAACUGUGGAGCUGCCUUUGAUACGGCAAGUCUUGAGUAUGAGAGAGGAUGGUAGAAUUCCUGGUGUAGCGGUGAAAUGCGUAGAUAUCAGGAGGAAUACCAGUGGCGAAGGCGGCCAUCUGGCUCAUUACUGACGCUGAGGCACGAAAGCGUGGGGAGC